UUUACCCCAACCUGCUUCAUCCCCAACAUCAGUAGGCAGAACAGGCAAGAUGGCGGCCGGUUCAGGAGCAGCAAGCGGACAGGGAGCCCGCAGCUCCACUGCUUCUUUGGAAGCCUCACUGGACCGCCGUUUUCAAAAAGUUUCCAACACUAUGGAGUCUAUACAGAGCCUCUCGGCUUGGUGCAUUGAAAACAAGAAACACCACGGCCUUAUUGUUCGCUACUGGAUGAAGUGGUUGAAGAAAUCCGACCACAAUCAUCGCUUGAAUCUUUUCUACCUUGCCAACGAUGUGAUCCAGAACUGCAAAAGAAAAAACGCCAUUGUGUUCCGCUCGGCUUUCUCCGAUGUCCUUCCAAAUGCUGCCCUCCUCAUUAAAGAUGGAAAAGUCCGCAAAUCGGUUGAAAGGAUUUUUACCAUCUGGGAGGAGAGGAAUGUGUAUCCGGAGGAGGUGAUUUCCCAGUUCAAAGCCGGCUUGCACAAAAAAGAAAAAGAGCGAGAGAAGCAAAAGGAAAAGGAAAAAGAAAAAGAAGAGCAAAAAGAAAAGGAGACACCACCAGGAAACGCUACAGCCAGUUUAAAAGCAGUCAGCAAUAAAGCUCCAAGCACUAAAGCUGCACUGAAGUCCAAGAUUGUUGCAGAGUUUACACCUCACUCCCUUAUUGAGCAGCUGUCCAGAUACAGGCAAGCUGCUGCUGAGGAGCAGAUCAGAGAGAAACAGCUGGAAACUCUCAGGGUGGACGUCUGCAGCACAGAGGCCUUCAAAAGACUUAAAGACAAAGCAGGAGGAAAUAAAUUUGCCAAAGACUUUGAAGAUGGAUGUCUGAAACUGCAGGACUUUGUCAGCUUCCUGGAAAAAGAGCUAAAAACGGGACCUCCUCUGCUGGAAGCUCUCGGAAAUGCAGAUAUCUUCUAUGAAAUGCAGUACAAGGAGGUUAAGAUUGUCGCUAAUGCGUACAAUGCCUUUGCUAACCGAGUAAAUGGCCUCAAAAAGAAACUGGAUUCUCUUAAGGCGACACUAUCUGGGCCAGAGGACUCUCCCAUCCCCUCUCCCUCAGAAGACGCUCCCUCACCCACUGGGUCCGACUCACCCUUUCUGGAAAUGGAAACCACCAGGGCCAAGGUGGAUCCAGAGCUGGAUGGCAAGGCUAUGGAUGAAGCAGACCUUCAAAACGACAACAGAGACAUGGAAGACAUGGAUAUGUCUGAUGAGGAGGUGUGCACUGCUGCCUCACAGGAUGACAAGGACGAUGAGCCACCUGUGUCUAUUUCCAAGACAAAGUCCGAUGCAGCAUCAAAACCUCAAAACGCGCUUACAAAACCAUCCAAGCCCAGCCCUUCUGCUGUCACCACGGCAACCACAGUGACUCCUGCCCCGGCAAAAGCAACAGCUGCCCCCACCACCCCUCUGGGAGUGAAUCUGGCCAAAGUGGACCUGGGGAAGAUCAGCUCCAUCCUCAGCUCGCUUACAUCUGCCAUGAAGAACACAGCACCUACUCCGGCUCCUCGACCAUCUCCUGGAACGCCCACCACCCCUACAGGCCAAGCCACUGUCUCCAAGGCGACCCCUCCGAGUCCUGCUCUGGCUAGCAUCCUGUCACGAGUUGACAUAACCCCUGAAGGGAUACUAAACGCUUUGUCUAAAACUAACACAUCAGGUUUAUCAUCUCUACUUCAAAGUGUGACCCAGACUUCUGCCACUAACUCCAACAGAACCUCCCCAGAAUCAACAAGUGUCAAACCCCCAGUAACCCCAACCACCCCAAAGAUUAAAUCCCCUCUCCGAUAUAGUCUAAAACAAGAGGAGCCAGUUAAGGCCAGAGACUGGGAGAAGGAUAAGCGGCUCUCCCCUCCUCCACCACCUCCUCGUUCUUCAGCUCCCUCUGUCUCUCCUCCCAGCUUAGAGUCCAAGAUCAACAGUUUCUUGCAGGGUAAUCCAGGUUUCAGCCUGGCCCUGGGUGAUGCUAGUCCUGAUGGGGUUGAUGGCACCCCGGUGAGGGACGAGACGGCUGGGACCCCGACGCAGGAUGAGAUCAUGGACACUCCCAGCGGCAUGCCAGACUCUUUGGGUUCAUCCGGAAGCCACAACCUCUCACCAACAGCCUACCGCAAUGAUCCUUGGGAUGCUGCAGUCACCUCUUCUGGAAGCAGCAACAAUGGAGACUUUCUUGGCUCCUCUUCUAGAUUUGGUGCAGGAAAAAGGAGCAGCAGUAAGUUAAAUGAAGACGAAUUGAUAAGGAGGCAGAAGUCCUCUUCCCCUGGCAGUGACUUGAAGGGUAAGAACAGUAGAGCCAUGGGAGAGCGGAGAGUCUCUGCCAGCUCUCGGAAGGCGAGCACAGGAUCCGAUGAUGGAAAAAAAGAAAAGGACAAUGGUAAAGAGUUAUCAGCAGGAGAUGCAAAGGAAGGUCAGUACCACCGCAUUGAGACAUUGGUGUCACCCCACACUGAAGGGGCGCCAAUCCAGACUCUGGGCUACUCAAACCGUGCACCUGCUGGAGAACGAAUCAAGACAGUUGAGAGCAUCCGUGUCAUUGGCCGAGGCUCUCGGCGAGGGGGAGGAGCUGGGAAUCGGCCAGGUGCUUCGAUGUGGUACAAAGAGGAAGAAUACUUGGAUGGUCAGCCUCCUUCACCACACGUUAUACCCCCUCCUAUUAACAUGGGAGGUAGUGAAGACCUAAACCCCUCAAUGCUUCCUCCACCCCCUCCUCCCCCUCCUCCUCCACCACCUCAGACUCCAUUCCCAAUGCCGUACCACACUGAAAACAUGCAGACUCCUCCUCCAUCACUCCUCCAGCCUCAUCUUCCUCCUUCAUCUCCCUCUUUUACUGCUGUUCCCCCGCUUCCUCGACUGCCCCCGCCACCACCACCUCCUCACCCUGCUCUGCCCCACAGCGUGAUGGUGGGGGGAAUGUUGGUCCCUGUGGAUCUUCCAUUGUCUGCGCCCCCACCUUCUCCUCACCCUGCUCUGCCCCACAGUGUCAUGGUGGGGGGAAUGAUGGUCCCAGUGGAUCUCCCAAUGUCUGUUCCACCAUCCUUUAGACCUGAGGGUGCAGAGCGUGGCAGGAUGGGGCACAGAGGACAGAAGAUGACCCCACCACCACUCAUGUCAUCGCUGCUAGGCGAGCACCCUAAGCUACCCCGUCCCGGCACAGUCAAAGAGCCUUUAAUCCCUCGCCAUACACCCCCUCUCCACCGCCCAGGUACGCCUGGCAUUCCUCCACCUCUACUCGGCAGAGUGAAGGAGCCUUUGAUUUUACCUCUCCCCUCACCCACAUCCUCCACCCCCUCUCCCUCCACGCCCAAUUCCCCCGCAGCAGACCACGCCGCCCCUAAAGCCCCACCCAGUCCGCCAGCUCAGUCCCACAACCCAAACUCCAAACCAGUCCCCCUCCUCAACCUACCCGCUUCCCGACCCCCGAUCCUCCCCACUCCCAUGCAGCAGAGACCCCCGCUGCGAGGCCGAAGCCUGUCUCAAGACCAUCCCAGAGGUGGGUUUCAUGGAGGGAAGCGAUCCGGCCCCCCGUUCCCCGGCGGUCCCUUCCAUGCUCAGAAGAGGCCUUACCUACCCCCACGCUACUGAAGUGGCUGACUAUGACAAGCUGAAUGAGAAGUGCAAGCCACACAUCUAACAGUGCAGUGUGUGUUAGCCCUGCUGGUGAAUUUAACGCUUGUUCUGAUACCUGGAAUACCUGCUGUACAAAUUCUUCUCUUGCUAAACCUUUUUGCAUCCAUCUAUUGCUCCCUCUGUAUAUUUCUGACCUUGUAAAUAUAAAGAGUGACUGAGUUGAUAUACAGUUUUUUUCUUCAAGCUUUUUUUCUAAAAAGAAAAAAAAAGUCAAAUGAUCAUUAUAUAUAUCUCACUUUCAAUGAGGUUGAGGUAUUUGGAGAAACUUAACACUGAACUUUUUUUCCUGCAGUGAUUUGCAUAAUUUACUUUCUAUCCCUUUUAAAACCCUUAAGACAAGUGUUGGGAUAAUUAUGAUCUCUUGUCAUGGACCUCAAAGUCCACCUAUGUCCUUUUUUUAAAAACUUGGUUCAUUAAUACACUGAGCAGCAGAAAGGGAAAGAAGCAUUAGGUUGGCCUACUCUACCACUAUUGCUACGGUUCACAGUGUUUUAAUUUGAAUAAAAUCAAGAGUUUAAUUUGAGUAAUAAGUCAUUUAUCGCUUGAAUUAAAUCAUGUUAUCGGGCUACAUUUAGAUAGGAGUAAUGUUAUGGUAGCCCAGUGGCAGAUAUUCACACAUUUCUAAAAUGAUUCUGUCUUUUAGUGCAGUAGCAUAAUCCUAUACUGUCAAUUUACCAAUUAGACAUUUCAUUUUAGUAUUCAAAUGAUUGAAACAGAACUAGUGGCACGCAUUCUUAAACCAGUUCUGUUAAUACUUUAAUCCUCUUUCUUUCUCUAAUAGUGUUAACUUUUCACAUCUGUGAAGCUUACGAUGAAGGAGCUCUCAACCGUUCAUCUUUACACCAAUUCAAAGUCUGAAAAAAGCAAAUGACUUCUGUUAAAGUCUUUGUAGAGUUGAGCAAUGUCCAUUUGUUUGUUUUGGAAGGAUUGAAAUUUGCUUUUCUUUUACAGCACUCCUUAAUAACCCAGUAGAAUAUAGAUGAUCUUUAAUGGUGUUUAUGGAAAACAGGUUACCCCUAAUGUUUUUUAUUUUUAUUUUAUUUCCUUUUAAGACUAUUUGGCUCCUGGGUAAGUUAACUAUGGGUCAAAGUCCAGUUGCUAAAACAUCUGGGUCUCAUUUAUACCCCAAGGCAACAGGAAGUUAUGAUUCAAAAUGACCUCCGAUUAACUUGAGUUGCAUUCAGUUAUAAGGUCUUAUAACUUUAUAACUAAUUAGGAGCACCAACAGACAAGGCAAAGUGAUUAUGUUUAGAAGAGGGAAAAAAACUUAUUUAAAUGGACCUUUAUUCAAAAUAAGUGUACUUGAAAUAAAGGUUUGGUUACUCUUAAUGUGUCAGUAUAAGGUUAUGCUACAGCAGCGACAGCUGAAUUUAAUGGAAGACUUUUGCUGUAUUUUUCAUUGCAUAUACACAGGUUUCACUAAUUUGUUUUUCUCCCAGUAUUUAUGAAUAUAUUUAUAUAUAUAAAUCUUUUUUUCUUUCUGUUGCUCAAUUUUUCUGCUUCCAGCCCCUGUUAUUUCUUAAAGCACUCUCUGCACCUCUUGUUCAUCAGAAUGCAAACAAAGUAGUAUUUCUUCCGGUUCUUCAGGAGUUGUUUCAAAGAUUUAAUCGUCCGUAGCCCCCUUAUGAGAGGCCCAGAUUUGUGUGCUCUAAGCCCUCUUAUCAGAUCUUUUUAUCUGUCUGCAGAUCAAGAUUAAAUACUGAUUGCUCACAAUUGCUUCACAUUCUGCAUGAAAUUGAUGAUAGGCAAGUUUUAAAAUGUAAUCAAAGUGUUACCACAGUGUUCACAAUUUCUGUUUCACUCCACUGCUAGGAUUGCUGUACAGUCACUUCUGCAGUUAACCCAGCUAAUUUACCUUAGAACGGUUACACUACAUUAAAGGUCUGCAGGGUUAGUUUUGAAGUAUCUGCAAGCAAACAUGUUCAACUUCUUUCUUUAAUCUUUGUAAACGUUUGUUUUUUCCUUCUUUUCACAUCAAGAUUUUUUUUUAUUUAAAAAAAGUUUGUUUGAUAAAUGACUGACGAUGUACUGAAGCUGAUGGUCUGUAUAUAUAUUUGACAAAUUUAACUGCUGUUCUCAUCAAUGAUGCUUAUAUUACUGGUC
RNA transcript from Cyprinodon tularosa, 5725 nucleotides. It is a transcript of the gene named threonyl-tRNA synthetase 2, mitochondrial, with no coding region annotated. The transcript has 11 exons. NCBI's taxonomy places the organism in Eukaryota, Metazoa, Chordata, Actinopteri, Cyprinodontiformes, Cyprinodontidae. The record is from RefSeq and is a predicted model, not a curated record.